This 449-nucleotide ribosomal RNA is filed under the name uncultured bacterium. Its description in RNAcentral is "bacterial SSU rRNA". It matches the Rfam family "Bacterial small subunit ribosomal RNA", at positions 335 to 796 of the family's 1533-position model. The record is from RNAcentral.
ACUCCUACGGGAGGCAGCAGUGGAGAAUCUUGCGCAAUGGGCGAAAGCCUGACGCAGCCACGCCGCGUGCGGGAAGAAGGCCUUCGGGUCGUAAACCGCUUUCAGGAGGGAAGAAGCGAAAGUGACGGUACCUCCAGAAGAAGCCCCGGCCAACUAUGUGCCAGCAGCCGCGGUAAUACAUAGGGGGCAAGCGUUAUCCGGAAUCAUUGGGCGUAAAGCGCAUGUAGGCGGCCAUGUAAGUCGGUUGUGAAAUCUCGGGGCUCAACCCCGAAACUGCAUCCGAUACUGCAUGGCUUGAGGAAGGUAGAGGAGAGUGGAAUUCCCGGUGUAGCGGUGGAAUGCGCAGAUAUCGGGAGGAACACCAGCGGCGAAGGCGGCUCUCUGGGCCUUUCCUGACGCUGAGAUGCGAAAGUGUGGGUAGCGAACAGGAUUAGAAACCCCAGUAGUCC